This 708-nucleotide ribosomal RNA is filed under the name Triticum aestivum (bread wheat). RNAcentral's name for it is "partial small subunit ribosomal RNA". Lineage: Eukaryota; Viridiplantae; Streptophyta; Magnoliopsida; Poales; Poaceae. The record is from RNAcentral.
AUGGAGUGCCUGACCAAAAUGAUUAAAAAUGCCCAGAAAAACAACCUUAUUGUGGGGUUGGCUUCUGACCUGAUCCCUAAUGGGGUCGCGGUCCUGCAAUAUGCGGAUGACACGAUAAUUUGUUUAGAGCACGAUCUGGAGAAGGCGUUGAACCUGAAGCUACUCCUGUAUACUUUCGAAAUGAUGUCUGGGUUGAAAGUUAAUUUCCACAAGAGUGAAAUUCUAACUGUGGGGGGCGAUGACCAUAUUAAUAAAGCUUACGCAGAUCUCUUUAACUGUGAUAUUGGUCAUUUCCCUCUUAAGUAUCUAGGGAUGCCUGUGAGCUUUACUACCCUUCGAAACUCAGACUGGGAGUUCAUCGUUGAUAAAUAUUUAGUCAGGUUUGAUGCCUGGGUUGGGAAUGCUGCUUCUAUGGGAGGGAGACACACCCUUUUGGACUCGGUGGUCACCCAACUCUCUCUCUACCACAUGUCCAUGUGGAUGAUGAAUAAGACUUUUGUGGAAAAGCUGGAUAAGCAUAGGAGGAGAUUUUUCUGGCAAGGUGCCAAUAAAAAGCACGGUAUCAUCUGGUUCGAUGGAGCAGAAUUUGUAGGUCCAAGGAUAAAGGUGGACUGGGUAUUAAAGACUUACGCAAACAAAAUAUCAGUCUUAUGCUUAAAUGAUGGUGGAAAUUGGAUACCCAACAUGGGAUUUGGCAAGAUAUUGUGA